RNAcentral lists this long non-coding RNA (3242 nucleotides) under Mus musculus (house mouse). RNAcentral's name for it is "long non-coding RNA chr3:156731097-156734339". The record is from RNAcentral. Lineage: Eukaryota; Metazoa; Chordata; Mammalia; Rodentia; Muridae.
AUCUGGUAAUCUCUGAAGCUAGCUGUUUUAGUUGUCACUGUUAAGAGCUUGUUCUUCAGGUGACUCUGUUAGCCCCUAUAAGCAGACCUGGAGGGUAGCACUCUCCUUAGUUUCAGUGGGCAGAGUAUUCUCUGCAGGCAAGCUCUCUUCUUGCAAGGCAGGUACCCAGAUACCUGGUGUUCGAACCAGACUCCUGGCAGAAGUUGUGUUCCACUCACUAGAGGUCGUAGGAUCACGUGUGGAAUCCUGUGUGAGCCCUUGCGGGUAUUAGGCGACUCAGCUGGCAAGGUAGCCCGGGGCUCCAGUGGAGUGGAAGGGGUUUGUGCCCCAGAUCAAGCCCGGGUAGCCUGCUUUCCUAUGUACAGCAGUCUCAGGUUCCGAGCGAUUGGAUUGGGGCAGGCGCUGUGUUCCACUCACCAGAGGUCUUAGGAUCCCGUGGGGAGUCCCGUGUGGGCCCUUGCGGGUGUUGGGCAAGACUCUGCUGGCAAGGUAGCCCGGGGCUCGAGUCGAGCAGAAGGGACUUGUGCCCCAGAUCAAGCCCGGGUAGCCUGCUUUCCUAUGUACCACAGUCUCAGGUUCUGCGCGAUUGGAUUGGGGCAGGCACUGUGUUCCACUCACCAGAGGUCUUAGGAUCCCGUGGGGAGUCCCGUGUGGGCCCUUGCGGGUGUUGGGCAAGACUCUGCUGGCAAGGUAGCCCGGGGGUCGAGUCUCGAGUCCUAACAUUUCUUUUUAUCACACUAUAGUUUCCUUCAAGUUUUUGUUCGGUUGGAUUUUGCUAUUCUUCUUUGGUUUUUGUUUGUUGGUUGGUUUGUUUGUUUUGUUUUGACAAGCAUCAGUGCCCCGUUCCUGCCAAUUCCUCUGGCGUUCAUCAGUCUGCAAUGAAACCACAAGAAAGCAAUGUGUUCUCUACACAAGACUGUUCCUUUACCACUGUGUAGAAAGAUGUAUGUGGGCUACUGGCCUCAUUGGCAGUCAGUCUCUGUUGAUUGUCCUACUGUAGGAGCUUGUCAAGAAAAUCUAGGGGCUCAGGGUUAAGAAGAUGUCUGGUCUUACUAUGGGUAAAGUUUUCCCAGUGCUGUGGAUCUAAGGGGACUCUUCUUUUAGAGUGCAUGGCGUGUUAGAAGCUUGGAGCUGUUGAAUACGUACCUGCAUUUAACAAGAUACCACUGUAGAAGUAACACAUUCAUGCAACAAGCUCUGAAUAUCCGACUUCCUAUCUAUUCCAUUGUGGUCUGGUUUUCUUCUGUGAGAAUUCAGGUUCAAGGUUUAGUAAAAGUUGGCAGUCUUUUCUGACAUACUAGCCUUAUUUACAAAACCAAAACCAAACCAGCCAACCAAACAGAAAUAGGCCCUGUCCUCAGCGUAUUGUUCAGGGGAAAGGGGCAUUAAUUUAUCCUUUUGUCUUAAUCUUUUGGAUUUAGAUGUUGAUGUAGAUUUACUCUCCAAUAUGGUUAAGUGGUUGCAAUGUGUUCCAGUGCCUAUGGGCCACAGUCACUUUAUAUCUUUAAUAAAAACGGUCCUUGCCUUCUUACCAUACGGCUUUUGUAUUCGGGAAAUUUACAGGAUUUCUCUCACAGUGAGAGAUGUGAAAAUUGUUACAUGUGUUCUGGACAUAGCCCAUCCAAUUUGGACCUACAUGCUGUAACUGGAAGGUAAAAGUAGCAAUCGCACUUGGAUAACGGGCACUACAACUUAUGACUGAUUUACCCCAAAUCUACUUAGAUGUUUAUGAAUAGAUAGUCUUAUGUUUUGUAACUAUUUUUGUUUUUACAGAUACUUAUAAGAUCUUCUUAAGUUAUAUAAUCACUUAAACAAAGAAAAAUAAUGUCAUGUACUUGAUGCAUAUAAUCUAACAUUAAACACAUUGCACAGUUGAUGUGUGAUUGAUAUCAAUUAUAGGAUAAUUACUUAGUCUAUAACAUUCUCUGUUUUUCCUUUAAAAUAAGUUACUUUAAAUAUUUAUUAUUAUCACACUUAAAAUGGGAAAAUGAGAGUUAGUGAGCAUAAAGAUUUACAAAUUCAAAACCAUGGAAACCCCCAGCCCAGACCUCAGUCUUGGUUUUCCGAUCUCUUUGUCAGAUCAGGAACUGUUGCUCUUGCUCAUACAGCUGAUAUGAUUUAAGAUGGGGCAGAGGAAUAAGAAGGUGGGCCCUCAUCUAUUGAGCUUGACAAAGAAGCCUCCUCAGGCCCACAGAGACAGAUUCUCAAGCACCAGGCAUGGCUUUAGCCUCUGUGUAAAGGACCCACAUGGUCCCCAGUUGUGAUCAUCCUCCAGAUGGUCAGCAGCAUAAAAAUCUGGAUGAAAAUUAGGGCAUGCAGAUGAUCUAUACAAGGUUCACAGCUUGACACCACUGAAGCAAUUUCAGACAUCAUGCCUGAAGCUCACAAUUUUUAUUGCUUUGAAACAGAGAAAAACCAGAGUCUUAAUUUUUUUUUAAUUCCAGUAAAUUCUCUUCAUGAUUCCCAUGCUUAGUUGGCUAUAAUUUUAAGCUUUUGGGUUGUUUCUUUUGUUUUUCAAAAUAUAUUAUAGGUACAUCAUUUCUCCCUUCUGGUUCUUCCCUCCAAACCCUUUCAUAUGGGCUUUUUUUGCAUUGGUUGUUAUUGCAUAUGUGUGUCUAUUACAUAUGCCAUAUAUAUAUACAUACAUACAUACAUACAUACAUACAUACAUACAUACAUACAUAUGUGUGUGUGUGUGUGUGUGUGUGUGUGUGUGUGGUUUUUUUGUUUAUUUGUUUGUUUUUUGGGGCUGAUCAUUUUGUAUUCGUUAGCCAAUUAGUGUUUUCUUCCCUAGGGGCUACUAUUUCAAGGGCUUUCAGCAUUUCUGAAUUCCUGUUGUUCUUCGUAUUGGGUUGGAACUUUAUGACUUUUGCACAUCCACUUUGGUGUGUCUAUUAUUGUCUUUGUUCAGCUCAUGUUUAGACAGUCAUGCUAAUGAUAUUUUAUGGGUGUAGCUUCUGACAUUACUAGGAGAAACAGUCUCACUAAAUGAUCUGAUACUCUGGCUCUUAAAAAUUUUGCUCUCUCUUCUGCAAUAUUGUGAAUAUUGUGCAGCACUGUUGUAGGCACAUCAAGCAGAAUUUACAUGAACAUAGUCUACAUCUAUGUUAACUAAGUCAUCUGAAUCAGGUAUACUCUACAUAAGCAACUAGAACACAACCUUCUUUAUAAAUCCAGGAAAACUCAUUUGAUACCUAGAUGCUUCUUCAACUUCAUCUAUAAUCAUAAGUUCCCCAAUUUGC